Molecule: ribosomal RNA, 690 nt
Filed under: Triticum aestivum (bread wheat)
Lineage: Eukaryota; Viridiplantae; Streptophyta; Magnoliopsida; Poales; Poaceae
Description: partial small subunit ribosomal RNA
Source: RNAcentral
AUGAGUUGCCUGUCAUGGAACUGCUGGGGGCUUGGGAACCCUGAGGCGGUUCGAGAGCUUCACAACAUUGUGAAGCUAGAAGGACCCACUCUUCUCUUCGUCAUGAAAACAAAAAUUAAAGGGAAGAGAGUUGAGGACUGGCAAAGACAUAUAGGCUUCGGCGGGUGCUUUGCAGUGGAUACUGUAGGCCUAAGUGGUGGCAUUGGGCUUUUUUGGUCACAUGAUGUUAUUGUCGAGCUUAAAAAUUAUAGUUCUGGACACAUUGAUGCUUUUGUUAAAUACAAAGAUCAAAACUCCUUUCAAUGGAGGUUCACUGGUUUUUAUGGAGCGCCCCGAGCAGAGGAUAGACAUCAAAGUUGGCAUUUCCUACGUACUUUACAUUCCAUGCUGAAUGUGGCCUGGAUUUGUUUGGGUGAUUUUAAUGAAACUCUCUACGCGAAUGAACACUUCAGUCGGGCAGCUAGGCCAGAGAGGCAAAUGAGAGCUUUCAGAGAAGUCACUGAUGAAGUGGCCCUCCAAGAUUUGGGGUGGUCAGGCACAACGUAUACCUGGGAUAAUCGGCAGGCGGGGGACGCAAAUGUCAAAGCAAGGCUGGAUAGAGUUUUGCCAAUGAAGAGUUCCGGCAACAUUUUCAAUACAUCAGAAUUAGACAUAUACCUUAUGUUGAAUCUGAUCAUUGUUUUGUUCUAG